This is a long non-coding RNA of Panthera uncia (snow leopard), 4397 nucleotides long. RefSeq lists it as uncharacterized. The record is from RefSeq and is a predicted model, not a curated record. NCBI's taxonomy places the organism in Eukaryota, Metazoa, Chordata, Mammalia, Carnivora, Felidae. The transcript has 4 exons.
CGCCCGAGGCAUGCUGGGUAAGCGUGGCGUGUACCUCGCCCGCCUUCGGAGCCGCAGGUCCGCGGUUACGUCUUUGUUUCAAAGAAUUCUGCAGCUGGUUUCUCCUGGGCGGCCCCGCGUGGCGUCCGGGCGGACGGGUUCAGGCGAGCAGAGGGCCUGUGGGAGCCGCAGAGAGAAACGGAAGAGACGUCGAGGACAGGCCUGUAAGAAGAGAACGAUCUGGAGGCAGGCCGUCCUGCCAGAUGCCCACGUGGGGCACAGACAACCAUGAAAAGUGACCUGAGUGCCCACGGUGAAGCAUGCAGAGAGGAGGUGAAAGGUGUCAUGUCGUGAAGGAGUGCCCGGUGAUUUCACAGAAGACUUGGACUUGGAAAUGGACACCUGCGCUGGGCGUGUUACUCCGCUGCCACCAGAGCCUCGUCACUAUUUCCACACGCAUUUCCUUGAUCGGAGAAUCCAAAAUCACUCACUUUAGCUGAUACAGAGUGAAGGAUAAUAAUAGCACAGCCCUGAGGCCGACACCGUUUCCAGGCUACCACCUUUUCCGCGGCAUCGCUCCAUCCUUGGUGCCAGUUGCCAUGAGAUAACGCCUUGGUGUUGGCAUCCAGAAUGCAGAAUCUUGAGCAACACUUUGUUUCCAAUGUGUCAGAAUCCUACAGACAGGAUUCCUUCAAAUCAUUGUGGUCCAGUAAUUUCACAAUGGGAUGCUGUCUUCACAACAUAACCAGAAAAGUAGGAGAGGUGUGGGCACAUGGGCUCCCACGAGGGCAUGACAGUCCGUGGUUGCUCCUGGCCUCCCGUCUCGCUCUCCCUGCCAACACCGGUGCACAGACGCACCCCCCACAGGUCGUACACACUCGCUACUCUCAGCCGCCUUCCUUUAUCUUUGAAUCGACCCUGCACGCCUCUCCUCCUCGUGGAGUCUUCCCCACCCUGCGUGACUGGUUUCUGCCUCCCAUGUGCCCUAGCGUUCCGUCUUCUUGUUCUUUACGUGCAGGUCACAGUGGCAAUCAUGGGAUGGUUCGUGUAGUUGUGUUUCUUAUUUAAUGUUCUGUAAGGAAUGAAGUCGUGUCUCGGUUACUGCUGCACUUUCUACCCCGACUAGCAUGAGCAAAUGUUCACUGAACGUUUGUUAAAUGAAAAGAAAGUGAAAUGUUGGAAUCACCGAAAUGCCCAACCGUUACAGUACAGGCAGGAAUACCUUCCGAUCGUUUACAUUUUUGUUUUCAUAGUUUUUUAGUGCCGAGGGAAAUUGCCUUUUCUGAUAGCAUUAGUUUUGUGAAAACCAAAACCAAAACCAAAACAUGAAAGUUGCUGGAAAAAAAUACACCAAAAUGUUCACAGUGGUUAUUGCUAAAGUGGAGAACUAUGUUCUUGUAUGUUUACUUUAAAAUAGGCAUGUAUUAGUUUUAUAGCCAGAAAAAUAUAGUUUUUGUUUCGUUUUUAAAUUGAUUUAAGCCUAAGUUAUGGAAAAAGUACCUCUCAGGCAUAGGGAAGUUGCAAGUAAAACCGGGUUUAAAAACAGAGAUUUCAGUAAAAUAUUUCCAAGUUUUAUUUCUUUUGAGGGAGAGACAGAUCACUCAUGUAAGAGCAAGCAUGAGUGGGGGAGGGGCAGAGAGAGAGAGAGAGAGAGAGAGAGAGAGAGAGAGAAUCUCAAGCAGGCUCUGCUAUCUCAGAGCCCAACAUGGGGCUCGAUCCCACAACCCUGGGAUCGUGACCUGAGCCGAAAUCAAGAGUCAGAUGCUUAACUGACUGAGCCACCCUGGCGCCCUUCAAUAAAACAAUAUUUUAAAUGCUCCAUUGGAAGAGAAGCCUCAUCAGGAGAAUGGAUAGUAGCUAGACGGAGUGGUACCUUCCCAAAGGACCACUGUCUGACAGAGAACAGAAUAAAGUACAGCAACACAUUCACAACAGAUAAAGCCUGUAAGAAAACAUGUAGUGCUAUUGAUAAAAUGAAAUCAGUGUAUAAUAGCAAUCCUACAACUGUUUAAGAUAUGUAAAAAUAUGAUUAAUUGUUUAGGAUACAUACAUGUAUUGUAAAGGUAUGAAGAAAUACAUAGUGUGACAUGUGGUGAUACGAAACUCACAAGAAUGGUUUCCUUUGUUGAGAGAGGGGUUUGUGGCUGAGGAGAGAGAAAAGGGAGGUUUGAUUUUUUUAACCAAGUGGUGGAUAUGGGUGUUAUUGCAAAAUUGUACUUUUGUGUACGUUGUAAUAUUUUAUAGUGUCCUGAAAUUUCAUAACAUGUUUUGAAAUAAAAGUAAAACUGAAAGGAAUCUGCCACUAACUCUUUCGUAAACAAAGAUUCUUUUGUAAAUAGGGGCAGCAUGCUUUCUGUGGUCUGUAAACUCAGAUUCUCUUUCACUCUCCCUCCUUCCUUCCUGCCCAGUCUCUCUCUUUCUCUUUCUGUCUCUCUGUCUCUCUCUCUUUUUUUUUUUUUUGGCUUUCUUUUAAAGUAGCGUAUUCUUUUUAACAGAACUGUUUUUACUAGGAAAGUUAGGAAUACCAUGAAAACCACCAGAUAGCUAUAAUUUGGUCACUGGUGUUGUAGAUCUGCCUGGUCUGAUUAUAAGAACUUUUAGGAGUUGUCUAGUGCUUUAAGUUAAUAGUAAUUUAGAUUUCAUUUAUGUAGAUUUCUAACUUGGCAUGUACUCCUAGUAAAGCAAACAAGAAAAAGAAAUAUGCUUCUCUCGCUCUGUUGGAUUAUGAUUGAUCUCAUUUUUCAGGAUCAGCUAUUCAAGAAAAGAGCUGGACGGCCCUGGCUUACAAAUUUCUAAUAACUUGAACUGUGUCUGCGAGAGUCUUAAUUGUGUGAAAGGGGAGGAGGCUCUCCUCGGAGCAUGACCGUGCAGUUUAGAAGUGCUCCAAGGAGAACAGAGUGCAAUGCCUUCCCUCUGGUUCCAUAACGUGAAGGAGAGAGGAGGCAGAGCUACUCUUCAGGUGAUGGAGUGGUGUCCAUUCUUGAAAAUAGAGGAUUAGCUUUGCAGUGCGAUAGGUCAGAGUUUUUAUUUUGCAAAGUGCGAUUCCAUUAUAGCCUUCUCAUCUCCCACGAGCUCUGGGAUUAGUGUUUGUUAUGCUAGGAGAAUAUAAUAAUUGCUUAAGUAUAGGAAAAAUACGUUUGACAAACAUUCAUGCUAGAGAAACAGGAAGAUGGGAUCCUUGACCCAGUGCGGAACUGCAGCUGGUCACUUAAGCCCCUUGCUUGUCUGCUGAUCCGCUGAUUAUCUUCUCACCUAAUUUUAGCCCAAAGGUUCAGCUUCCACCCCCUCCCGUUUUAUCAUUUCUUUUUCUCCUGUUGACCUGCCUGUGAAGAUACCAAGUAGAAGCAAAAUUGCCGAAAGGCAGAGCAGAAGAAUGAUCCUGGGUCAUUCGCUGAGGAGGUCGAGACCCUGACAGCUAAGGGUUAACCGCAGCUGAGGUGCCACAGGCCACGGAGAGCACGCGGGCACACUCACGUGCAGCACUCACACGCAUUCACGCACACAUUCGCGCACACUCAGGCGUGCACUCACGGGCAUACACACAGAAGCACACUCUCACCCCGGCACACACGGCCCUCCCCUGCCCAGCACAGCCUCCCACCGAUGCCGCCGCAGGAGUCUGGAGCACACGAGAAGGCUCUACAACCACGUCCCUCAGCUGAGAACUGACCCACUUUCACCAGGUUGACAGAGGUGAGGAGAUGAGCCGUGGAAGUGGUCCAGACAGAAAACCUGUGACCAGAACAAGAUCCUCCUGACCCACGUUCCCGGACGGCGUGCCUCCGUGGCCGGGAUGGACCCGGCCCUCAUUUACUUCACCUCACCUUAACCAGGAACCUGGACCCACACACGCCCAGCGAACUGGCGCCAUGUGGCUGAUUGGGACAUUUCAGCUCUCCUGAAAAUUGGUGUCGAUCGCUUCAGAAGACACCCACAGGCAACGAUUCGUCGUGACGGUUAAGAUGGCCAGAAUGAUUGGGCUCCCCAGCACACUGAUGCAUUCCACACCAUACCUGAGCUGGCUCUUGGAUUCAAAGGUCAAAUUAAAACUGGUCACCUGGGAGUGUGGCUUACGUGCCCAUGUUUACAACCUCAACUCUUGUCAUGUGUCUGCAGAGUCCCCAACAACAAAUCAACAUCCUGUAGUCUGGGGGAAAGCAAGAACAAACGACGCUUCAAGAACUGGGGCUAAGUUGCGAAUGCCCAGAACGCAAUUCGUAUACCCAAAACACGUUACGGCCACAAACUGCUGUGGCACAAAUUUGGACUAUUUUAAGUUUUUUAAAGUCUCGUUUGCAAGUAGCAAAAGAUCCUUAUUGUGAAAGAUAACUUGGUUCUCUUGUUUAUAUUCAAGAACCAGCGCAGAUUAAAGUGAUCUUUUAAAAGGGCUUGAAUAGGAGAAUAAAUCAGUAUUGGUG